CAGUUCGGAUUGAAGGCUGAAAUUCGCCUUCAUGAAGCCGGAAUUGCUAGUAAUGGCAGGUCAGCAUACUGCCGUGAAUACGUUCCCGGGCCUUGUACACACCGCCCGUCACACCAUGAGAGUUGGGGAUACCCGAAGCCUGUGAGCUAACAGUAAUGAAGCAGCAGUCGAAGGUAGAAUCAAUGAUUGGGGUGAAGUCGUAACAAGGUACC
RNAcentral lists this ribosomal RNA (212 nucleotides) under uncultured bacterium. Its description in RNAcentral is "partial 16S ribosomal RNA". It matches the Rfam family "Bacterial small subunit ribosomal RNA", at positions 1289 to 1500 of the family's 1533-position model. The record is from RNAcentral.